Olea europaea var. sylvestris is the source of this 1174-nucleotide long non-coding RNA. RefSeq lists it as uncharacterized. The record is from RefSeq and is a predicted model, not a curated record. The transcript has 4 exons. NCBI's taxonomy places the organism in Eukaryota, Viridiplantae, Streptophyta, Magnoliopsida, Lamiales, Oleaceae.
AAAGUCGGCCCAAUUCUUAUACCCAACACAAUAUAACUCCCAAUUAAAAAGUCUCCACUUAGUCUCAAAUCUCUCCUACCCUAACCCUCAAAGUUUCUAUUUGUGUGUACUGCUUCUGCUCUACAUCUUCUACGGUAUUUCUAGUGUCCGGCUAAAAUUGAAGUAUGACGCCAUGUUGGAGCUCGUGGGUUUUAAAAGAAGAGUGAAACAUUUAAGAAUUGUAUCCUUAAAAUGGAGGAAAGGGAUAGAGUCAAGAGACGUGUUUUUUCUCUAGACUCUUAGACUUCAAUUGUCUUUUUUCAAGACUCGAAUUCAAUUCGCCAGGUUUUAAAAGUGGCCAAGCAGGCUAUUGACCUGAACGUGUGGAUUGAGGAAGCACGGAUAAAACUUUUGCCGGAGAAGUUAAAGGCAGAGACAUAUUCCUGUUGCCUGUUGAGCCGUGAAGGAACUAUACGAGAUUGUUCCAACUCGCAAAUGGAAAGGAGAAAACAAAAUCAACAAAAUAGUUUCUAUAGGUGGAUUGUUAAAUGAAGAGCUAUCGACCUGGUCAUACGAUAAAGAAGGAAAGAGUAAACUAUUAUAUUGGUGGUAAUCUUAUUUUUUUUUCUCUCUUUCCUGAGUUUAAGCAAUCAUUGAUAAAAAAAAGGUAAGAUUAAACUAUUAUAUUGGUUGUUCUUAUUUACUUUUAUCCAAAAUCGACAACAUUUUGCUUAUAAAAUUGUGCAAUUAGUUUAUCUCGAUUUACAUUUGAUCAGGUAUUUUUUUUAUUUUUUUUCGAUUUUCUUGGUUGUGAAAGUGCUUGUUAUCAUAUGCUGAUCUCUUACUACUUGCUUGUGGAUUUUUGUUUAUGUAUAGCAUAACAUCAUGACAAUGAAGAUGCUUUUUGAUGGGAAGCUAGGCAUUGCUGGUGGGUAGGAGACUCAAAAGGAGUUUGAUUUGUUUGUGAUUGGAGCUGGCAAUGGUGAAGUUCAUUCCUCACAAUUUCCUAGUCUAGAACUCAUUUUUCGUUUAGUCUAUACCCCGUUUGUACUAAAAGUCUAGGAUACAUUUGUAACUAAGAUAUUAAGGUGCAUGACACAUUUUGUGGUUAUAUAUAGGAUAUUUAAAUUUAUGUAAUGACUAUUAAUAAUUAUUUUAUGUGCAAGUACAAUUACCUUUUGUACUCGGUUUUGUA